RNAcentral lists this unclassified non-coding RNA (220 nucleotides) under uncultured Actinomycetes bacterium. Its description in RNAcentral is "uncultured actinobacterium contains 16S-23S intergenic spacer region". Lineage: Bacteria; Bacillati; Actinomycetota; Actinomycetes. The record is from RNAcentral.
UCCGAGUUGACCCCGGCAGUCUCCCAUGAGUCCCCGGCAUAACCCGCUGGCAACAUGGAACGAGGGUUGCGCUCGUUGCGGGACUUAACCCAACAUCUCACGACACGAGCUGACGACAGCCAUGCACCACCUGUAUACCGACCACAAGGGGGGCCGUAUCUCUACGGCUUUCCGGUAUAUGUCAAACCCAGGUAAGGUGGGGAUGACGUUAGUCAGUCAA